RNAcentral lists this long non-coding RNA (599 nucleotides) under Mytilus galloprovincialis (Mediterranean mussel). Lineage: Eukaryota; Metazoa; Mollusca; Bivalvia; Mytilida; Mytilidae. The record is from RNAcentral.
AAAUAAACAUGACAAAUGCCAGGAAGUUAAUUGUUGGAAGUUAUUAUCGACCUCCAUCUGAUAAUGGCACAUCCAUUGAGCAGCUUAAAAUCUCAUUAGAUCGCAUAAACCAAAAUACAAAAUCUACAAUCAUUCUUGGUGGCGACUUUAAUCUUGGGCACAUAAACUGGGAUAUUCCAUGCACCAUCCCGAGUAAACCAGACAUUAAGCUACAUGAACAACUCCUAAACAUUAUAAAUGAACAUUCACUUGAGCAGAUUGUAAAAAAGCCCACUAGGGGAGACAGAACACUUGAUCUCAUUCUCACCAACAUACCAAGCAUAGUCAACAAAGUGGAGACUAUGCCUCCUAUAGGAAAUGCAGACCAUGAUAUCGUCUAUGCAGAAUGUGCACUAUCUCUCAAACGCAACAAGAAAAUGCCAAGAAAAACCUACCAGUACAGAAAAGCUAACUGGGAAAACAUCAAACUAGAUGUGAACAAACUCACACAAGAAAUCAAAAGUCAUUACCAUAGUUCAUCUACUGAUGAACUAUGGAAUACAUUUACAGAAAGACUACUUCAAUCAGUCAAGAAAAACAUCCCCCAGAAAACAAUCACA